This 601-nucleotide long non-coding RNA is filed under the name Salmo salar (Atlantic salmon). Its description in RNAcentral is "lncRNA (ENSSSAG00000113760.1)". The record is from RNAcentral. Lineage: Eukaryota; Metazoa; Chordata; Actinopteri; Salmoniformes; Salmonidae.
CCAAGUCGCCCCACGGUGUGAUGGAAUUAUAUUGAUUCUCUUGUUGUUGCCGACAGUAAGUGAUCUGCUGAAAGGUUUACUGUGUUACUGUGGUCAUACAUUACCAUCGUCCCUGGCUGAAAGGUUUACUGUGUUACUGUGGUCAUACAUUACCAUCGUCCCUGGCUGAAAGGUUUACUGUGUUACUGUGGUCAUACAUUACCAUCGUCCCUGGCUGAAAGGUUUACUGUGUUACUGUGUUCAUACAUUACCAUCGUCCCUGGCUGAAAGGUUUACUGUGUUACUGUGGUCAUACAUUACCAUCGUCCCUGGCUGAAAGGUUUACUGUGUUACUGUGGUCAUACAUUACCAUCGUCCCUGGCUGAAAGGUUUACUGUGUUACUGUGGUCAUACAUUACCAUCGUCCCUGGCUGAAAGGUUUACUGUGUUACUGUGUUCAUACAUUACCAUCGUCCCUGGCUGAAAGGUUUACUGUGUUACUGUGUUCAUACAUUACCAUCGUCUCUGGCUGAAAGGUUUACUUCAAAUUAUGCCUGUCGAAAUCAUGACAAAAAAAAAAGAGGAUAUACAAGUUUGACACGUUUUAAUAAGGAAAAAGGCC